AGUAACACAACGUUCCCAAACAAUUACUCUUUUUUGUUUUUGUUUUUGUUUUUCACAGUCAGAUUCACCCAACCAAAACAAAAAGUAAUCUCAAUAGAGCAUGUUUGCUUCAGAAUGAGGAGAAACUGGGAGCCACUUACUCUUCUGAACCCUGCUAUUAUUCUAACAGGAACCCAACCGUCAUCAUUCAUCUGACCCCUCAAGUGUUCAUCUUUGCUUAAGUUAUCAGCACUG
Brassica rapa (field mustard) is the source of this 234-nucleotide long non-coding RNA. RefSeq lists it as uncharacterized. The record is from RefSeq and is a predicted model, not a curated record. NCBI's taxonomy places the organism in Eukaryota, Viridiplantae, Streptophyta, Magnoliopsida, Brassicales, Brassicaceae.